AUGACUUAGACAAUAUUUAUGGUUCAGUGGUUUAUUUCAUUUGAAUUCAUAUGGUUUUAUGAAUGUAAUAAGGUUUGCAGAGUUUUAUGAGUUAAAAAUAAUUUUCUACCCCUCGUGGUAGCGUGUUUUAAAAGAAAAAGGUUUCCGUGUGGGAAACGAUUUUAAAAAGGAUUUUCUGGUUUUUCCUGGUUCCUAGUAUUUCAAAACAAGUUUUCGAGUAGGAAACGUUUUAAACUAAUAGAUGUGAACUUAUGAAUAAUUGUGAUGAAAUGAAUGUUAAUGUGAAUGGUGAAUGAAUAUGAAUGUUCAUAUGUUGUUGUUGUAUCUUGUACUUGUGCGACG
RNAcentral lists this long non-coding RNA (342 nucleotides) under Ananas comosus (pineapple). RNAcentral describes it as "long non-coding RNA (ACOM_LNC003463)". The record is from RNAcentral. Lineage: Eukaryota; Viridiplantae; Streptophyta; Magnoliopsida; Poales; Bromeliaceae.